CCCUAAUUCCUAACAUUUGCCUUACCCCUGUCGGCCUCUCCUCUCCAGCACGCAGAAGCAGAAGUGCAGAACGCGAAGCAGCAGUGCAGCAGUGCAGCAGUUGGAGCUUCUGUCGCAACUUCUGUCAGCCACCACCGCCGCCGCGUAGUCCAUGAAGCUAACGUCAGUCACCUCUGUUCGCGGCUUUGCGCAGCCAUUUUUCGUCGCGCAGAGAGCUCGGAAAUCAGAACCACCGCCAGCACCGCUUUCCAUCGCGCAGUGUAUUCCCGUCGGCACCAAGUCUGUUUCCCCCUUCCACCCAUCAGCCACUGUCUUGCCUCUUGCUAGCCACCGUCCCCGCCAGCUCUGUAUUUUUUCAAGCUUCCAGCUUCUAACCCUAGGUAUAAUUUUUGUUCUUUGUAAUAAUAAUAGUUGAAGUCUCUGUCAGUCUGUCUCCCUCCUGCAUGCUCUGUUGAAGGCGUCUUCGAGCUUUCAGGUAAUUUUUUGAACUGUGAACUGAAGGCGUCUUGAUCACUCUGCUCCUUGUCUCUGUCCCUCGUUACAAUGAUUGUUUGAUUGAAUAACUGUUGUAUGUCUCUGUCUCCCUAAUGAGUAUGAUUUAAUAAUUGUUUGAAUCUAUGAAGCUCUGUGAACUGAAGUCACUGAAGUCUGAUAUACUGAUAAUCUGAUAUAGUGAUACUGAACUGUGAAGUGUGAAGGCUGUGAAGCUCUGUGAAGUGUGAACUGAACUGAACUGUGAACUUUGUUUAAGCGUACUUGAUUCAUAAGCGUACUUGAUUUAUAAUUCUACUUUCUUUGCAAUUGUUUCUAAGCGUACUUGAUUUUCUGGAUUUAGAGUUAUUUUUUAUUGAAUUUCUGGAUUUGAAUUUUGAAUUUGUGUUUGAUCUGCAAUUUCUGUUUGAUUCUUCUUAUUGUUGUUGUGAUUGAAAUUCAAAAUUAAAAUCUGAUUCCUCUUCUUCGUCAUAUUCUAGACUUGUUCAUUAUCUUUGUAUUUAAGUGAGCAAUUAUAAUCUGUUAUCUGGUUAUAUUACUCUUCUAGGACAAACUCUAGUGAUGGCUCAAGGCAGGAGAAAUAUGGAAUGACUAACAAACCCCGAGGAGAGCCUGAGGAUGCGCAACGAUCGAACAAAGGUGAAAGAGGUGUCUUCUGAAGUAUCAAAGUAUAUCCACUGGAACCAAAUGACAAGAGACUUAAUUAUGAACCACCUACAGAUUUAGUUAGCAAGCUGUCCCUGGUUUUUGAAGUGAAAAAAUCUGCAAAACUGCCAUCUAAGGUGCAGCCAAUUUCCUAGAUUCAGCUAUCUCAGCACUCAUAUAACAACUUAAGAUUCUUUUGAGUGGGUAAAGGUUUAUUGAAAGAGAUUCAGAAAAGCAUUUUCUUUGAAUGA
Arachis duranensis is the source of this 1388-nucleotide long non-coding RNA. RefSeq lists it as uncharacterized. Lineage: Eukaryota; Viridiplantae; Streptophyta; Magnoliopsida; Fabales; Fabaceae. The record is from RefSeq and is a predicted model, not a curated record. The transcript is spliced from 4 exons.